Molecule: ribosomal RNA, 1050 nt
Filed under: Halomonas sp.
Lineage: Bacteria; Pseudomonadati; Pseudomonadota; Gammaproteobacteria; Oceanospirillales; Halomonadaceae
Description: bacterial SSU rRNA
Rfam family: Bacterial small subunit ribosomal RNA
Source: RNAcentral
CGGGGAGAUGCGGAGCUACCAUGCAGUCGAGCGGUAACAGGGGUAGCUUGCUACCCGCUGACGAGCGGCGGACGGGUGAGUAAUGCAUAGGAAUCUGCCCGAUAGUGGGGGAUAACCUGGGGAAACCCAGGCUAAUACCGCAUACGUCCUACGGGAGAAAGGGGGCUCCGGCUCCCGCUAUUGGAUGAGCCUAUGUCGGAUUAGCUAGUUGGUAAGGUAAUGGCUUACCAAGGCAACGAUCCGUAGCUGGUCUGAGAGGAUGAUCAGCCACAUCGGGACUGAGACACGGCCCGAACUCCUACGGGAGGCAGCAGUGGGGAAUAUUGGACAAUGGGGGCAACCCUGAUCCAGCCAUGCCGCGUGUGUGAAGAAGGCCCUCGGGUUGUAAAGCACUUUCAGCGAGGAAGAACGCCUAUCGGUUAAUACCCGGUAGGAAAGACAUCACUCGCAGAAGAAGCACCGGCUAACUCCGUGCCAGCAGCCGCGGUAAUACGGAGGGUGCAAGCGUUAAUCGGAAUUACUGGGCGUAAAGCGCGCGUAGGUGGCUUGAUAAGCCGGUUGUGAAAGCCCCGGGCUCAACCUGGGAACGGCAUCCGGAACUGUCAGGCUAGAGUGCAGGAGAGGAAGGUAGAAUUCCCGGUGUAGCGGUGAAAUGCGUAGAGAUCGGGAGGAAUACCAGUGGCGAAGGCGGCCUUCUGGACUGACACUGACACUGAGGUGCGAAAGCGUGGGUAGCAAACAGGAUUAGAUACCCUGGUAGUCCACGCCGUAAACGAUGUCGACCAGCCGUUGGGUGCCUAGAGCACUUUGUGGCGAAGUUAACGCGAUAAGUCGACCGCCUGGGGAGUACGGCCGCAAGGUUAAAACUCAAAUGAAUUGACGGGGGCCCGCACAAGCGGUGGAGCAUGUGGUUUAAUUCGAUGCAACGCGAAGAACCUUACCUACCCUUGACAUCUACAGAAGCCGGAAGAGAUUCUGGUGUGCCUUCGGGAACUGUAAGACAGGUGCUGCAUGGCUGUCGUCAGCUCGUGUUGUGAAAUGUUGGUAAGU